AGAGCCUGUUGGCUGGCCACCUACCACACCCUGGCCUUGGCUUCUGGGCCUUCUCCUUGCCUCUUCCCACCUCAGUCUAACCCACUAGCAUCUUUAAUGAUUCCCAGCUGAUCCCAGCCACAUCCUGUCCCCAAGGUCCUGGCGCAGAGAGCAGGCCCUUCUCCAAUGGGCUCCUCAGAGCAUUAACCCCUGGCUGGCUAAGCCUCUGGGUAUAGCAAUCAGCCACAAUAGGAAGCCUAAGAAAAACAGAGACAAAAUCUGAUAGAGUAGUCAGACUUCUCUGAGGGUAGCUUGGGCUCCCCUGAUUUCCUUCCCUCUGGAGAAAUGCCCUAGGAAGGGUCUCCAUCUGGCAAAUACUCCCAUGCUUGCCCAUUGAGGUAUCCUUGACAAACCUGUUUUCUAUCUAAUCCUGAUGCUUCUUGUUGCAGUGUUCAGCCUUUUUGUUCGAGAUAAAGCUGCAUUGGGAUUAUGGGUUCUGCAGGGGGUCUGCCUGAGUUCCAACCCCACCUUCUGUUACUUGCUAGCUCUGUGAUCUUGGACAAGAUAUUUUCUCUCUCAGUGGCUCUGUUUCCUCAUCUGGGAGAUGGGGAUAAGAUUAGUACCUACCUUGUAGCAUCGCUAAAAGCAUGAUACAGAUUAAUCCACUUGAGCUGCUUUAAACAAUGCCCUGCAUAGCGCACUCAAUGUUAGCCCUCGUUGUAUUAUUGUCUUGGAUGGUGACUGGCUGGUCUGUGAGGACAGGGACUUUGUCUUUCAUGUCCUUGUACCCCCAUCACCCAGCACUGUUCUAGGCACAUAGCACAUGUUUGAUACAUAACAGAAUGAAGCAUAGACAAGACCGUCAGUUCUCUGUGCCCCUUCUAGCCAUGGACCUGAGUGAAGCCCACAGGUGGGCACCAGGGACAGUCUCCAUUCUCUUGCUGGGGGCCCGAGCCUACCCCAACCUGCCUCAGGCCUGUCAGCCCCAAGGCCAGUGGCUCCCUGGGCCAUACAGUAGGGCCCUCAAGGGCUGUACUUAGAAAGGCCAUUGGCAAUCAACUGACAGGCCCAGUGACUCCCACAGAACACAGCCUAGGUAGUGGCGGAGCUGGUGGAAGCCAAGAAAUUAAGAUACAUGGUAUGGGGUGUGCCAUGGUGGGGGAGGAGAAGCACAGGCUCAGGAGUCAGAGGUCAGUCCUGGAUUUGAAUCCCAGUUGCCACUUCCUGGCUGACUAACCCCCAGCCUCAGUUUCCUCACUUGUGACAUGGGGAUAAUCACUUCUCCUCUCAGAGCUUGGCAAAGGUUCAAGGAAAAAAAAAUCACGUCAAGCAUGCAGCAGAGUGCCUGGCCCAGAACUGGUGCCAAGGCAGUGACUAGAAGUUCCUGCCUUCACCCGGGGCCCUGAGAAGGGGGAAGCACUGGCUGGAGUGGGGGAGGCAUGCGUGGGGUCUAUUGGGUCUGGCCUUUCUGCCAACAGGGGUUUCCAGAUGGUGGUUCUGAGCAGGGCCCAGGCCAAGGGGCCACAGUCAGGGCCCCUGGCCGCCCAUCCCCUACACCCUGGCAUGGCAGGGUUCUUGGACUCCUGCCACAGCCGACUAUGUAAAUAAACCAGCUUUUCGCUGGCUGGGAGCGAGACUGCCCUAAGUGACAUUUCAAAUUAGUUCUGCUAUAUUGGACUUGAGCUCUGAAGGGCCUGGGCAUUUUUCUUCCCUAGCUCAUCCCUUUCUCUGUGUGGUGAAAGCUCUUAAAGCACACCCGGUGCAGGCAGAGGGCCAGGGCAGGGUGGGGGCAGGCCUUCUUAGGUGACCUGCUGAAGCACUUACCAGGCCCGGGGCCACAGCCUCCCUUCUCAGGGAGGUCAGGAGCGCUGCACCAGGGUAGCCCCCCCCUCCACACCAGCCCUCCCUGGCUGCCAUGGCAACCCAGCCUCCUUGCACAGGGCUCACACACCAGCUGGCAGGAAUGCUAAACGGAAGGAGGGCUGCAUCGUUGGCCAAGGAGAGGGGGCUGGGCCCUGGAGGGGGCACACGAGGGGUGGGCCAGCUGCAGGCCUGGCAGAGCUGAAAGGGAGAUAUGCUAGCCACAUGGCUGGCCUGACUCAGGCUGGGGCUGGGGCCGUGCCAGGAGAUGAGACCAUGGUAGGAGCGGAGAGCCGGGACCAUGGACACAUGCCACUGUAUUUCUGGCAAAGUGCUCCGGCUUCCCCACAGGGCCGAGGGCAGAGGGCACUGGAUUCAAGUCCUUUCUUUCCAGGCAAGUCGCCUUAGCCCACUUGGCCUCCAUUUCUUCAGGCUCGAGGCCUGAAAGUGUGAAAGAACUCAGACUAUGGAGCUGGACAGAGCUGAAGGGCACUCCGGGCUCUCACACAUAUGUCAUUUUACAUCUCUGAGCCUCAGUCGCCUCCUCAGUAAAUAGGAAUACUAGCAGCAGCCACUUCAUGAGCUCAUUGAGAGCAAGGGACAAGAUGAUGCAUGCAAAGCACAGAGCGCACUGCCUGGCACAUAGUAAGGGUUCAUUAAGUGACAGCUUUUACCACUACUGCUAUCCUUUUAGUUUUAUUCAAAGUGACACUUUCUGGAUCGGUGUCUCCCAGUAGAUUGUGAGACCCUGGGGGGCAACGAAGAGACUUAUUCCUCUUUCCACCCCCAGCAACUUCAGGCUCGGACAGGCCCAGAGCAGAUUCUGGGACAAGCAGCGGCAGGGGUGGGGGAGGGCAUGACGCAAAUACACCAGGAAUGCCUUGGGCUAAAUGGCUUCAAAACUCUUUUGUGGCUUGGACAUUCUGUGUUUUUAACUCCAUAAGCUCUAAGGAAGGGCUGCCAUAGAGUGUAUAAGCUCUGGAUACACACACACACACAUAUAUGCAUACAUAUACAUAUAUAUAUAUAUACACACACACGAAAGUGUGUGUGUGUGUGUGUGUGUGUGUGUCUCCUCAGGGCAUCUGGUUGACUCCAUGCAUGGAGCAUCCAGAGAGCAUCCCAAAGAGAAGAAAGGGGGACUGGGCCUCACCAGGGUCCGUAUUUGGGCUCGGCACACUCUACCUGGUUGGCAGUGCUGGACUGGCUGCUACUCGGCAUGAGGGGACAAUAGCACUUUGGAAUGUCCUCCAAGCAUGCCCCCUGAGAUGUGAGGCUGGGGCAGGGGCCCUGCUUGCGUGGGGUUACAGAGCAUACUGUUUCAAGUUGAUAGCCACUGAGCUGAACUAAUGUGAACUCUGGCCAAAGGCACCUUAGCCCCUCCAUGUUGUGUAUUGCCUAUGCCUGGAAUUCCAAUUUUCUCUGCAUCCUCCACCAUAUCUCAUCCUAGCUCACUGGCCAGGAACUACAGUUCUGAGCAGCUGUGGCUGGCUGAAGGCAAAGAUGAAGGGAGAGACAUACGACCAGCAUACCAGGCAGUGGAGGAGGGGCGGCUCUCACACCAGCAAUGAAUUCCUGCAGGUCUAAAGGCGCAUUUGCCCAUAGACAGGUGCUGGAACAAACACUCCUGCGCCCUUUGAAGGCCUGGGGAAGGCUAUCCUGAGGGUCAUCUGUGGAAACCAAACCAGGAAGGUCCUGAUGGCAAGAGUUUCCCAGGCUGUAAAAUCACUGCCACCACCUAUAGCCACCCAUAGCAGGAGAGAUGAACACAGCUACUCCCCAUGGCAGCUGCCAGACAGGCCUUGGGAACUUGGCAGGAGUGAGGGAGGUGGGCUAUAAAAGAGCAUGAAGUUGGAUGGUGGACUGCAAGAGCCAGGUUGCUCCAUGUUGGAGUGGAAGUAUACAGAUAAGCAAGAGGAAGGCUGGAGUGAUCCAUGCAGUAAUAGAUUGGAAUGGGAGACAUCAGUGUGAACUCAUGUUUUGCUUAAUAUGGAUACAAAUAGUUACGCAGAGAUGCACUUACUGAUACAUGUGUAUACACAGGUUAGUAUACACACGUACAUCUUCUUGCUUUGUUAGUUGAUAGGGCCUAGUACCCAGAUCUUGGUUUCUGAUACCAUUCUCCGCUAAAAGAACCAGAGUUCCUCGGAGAAGUGGUUGAUUUCAGGGCCAGAACAGGAAACAGACAAGAUGAGCCUGGGGCACCAUGAACUGCCAGAAAGGAGGAAGUGCCAAAAACAUAAAAUCCACAGUGAUGGGUCAAAGGGACACAGGAGCCAACUGAAAGAGCUCCCAAAGGGCAGAGCUGGAACUAUUUGAACAACGGAAUAAAUAAUGUAGUUUGGGAUCAUAACCCAAAGUAUAAAACAAAUAUCCAUGAGUCUAUAGUGAUAUAAGUGAUUAAAUAAAGAAAUAAAGGGAGAGGAGGCAAAUCUCCCUUGCAGAACUGCGAAUAAUUUAUGUUGAUCCUCCUUUCACAAGGAGGUGGCGCUUAUCUCUCCAUUCCACACUCCUUAAUUGUGGGCUGUGCAUUGCAACUUCCUUCCAAUGAGUAAAGUAUGGAAAGAAGUGAAAACACAGAAUAACUUUCCAGUGAUAAGACCUGACAGACACCUCAGCCAGGUGAUCACAGUCAACAUCAACAGUGAUAAGUCAUGUAGAGAGCAUGUACCCUUGAUAUGAUGUGUUGAGAUCACAAGAUAACCAAGAGAAAAAUAUCAGACAAUCCUAAUAGAGGGACAGCCUACAGAAUACCUCACCAACCCUCCUCCAAACUGUGAAGAUCAUCAAAAACAAGGAAAGUCUGAAUAACUGCCACGCAGAAUUAAGGAGGAGUUCCUGUCAUGGUUCAGAGGAAAUGAAUCUGACUAGUGUCCAUGAGGUUGGGGGUUCGAUCCCUGGCCUCGCUCAGUGGGUUAAGGAUCUGGCAUUGCCAUGAGUUGUGGUGUAGGUUGCAGACACGGCUUGCAUCUGGUGUUGCUGUGGCUGUGGUGUUGGCUAACAGCUGUAUCUCUGAUUCGACCCCUAGCCUGGGAA
Molecule: long non-coding RNA, 4875 nt
Filed under: Sus scrofa (pig)
Lineage: Eukaryota; Metazoa; Chordata; Mammalia; Artiodactyla; Suidae
Description: lncRNA (ENSSSCG00065068442.1)
Source: RNAcentral